Humulus lupulus (European hop) is the source of this 676-nucleotide long non-coding RNA. RefSeq lists it as uncharacterized. The record is from RefSeq and is a predicted model, not a curated record. NCBI's taxonomy places the organism in Eukaryota, Viridiplantae, Streptophyta, Magnoliopsida, Rosales, Cannabaceae. The transcript is spliced from 3 exons.
ACCUUGGGCACCAGAUACUCACUUUCUCUCUCUAUCUUAUUCUCUUCACUCUUCUCUUCUCUAAGUUCUCUCUUGUCGGCAGCUCUUCCUCUUCCCUGUCACACCCACAAGUCACAGUUCAAAGCCUCUGUCUCACCACUAGCAAUCCUCUCUCUCAAUCACUCUCAGGAAUCAUAGUGGCUCACGACUCAGCCCUCUCUCUCACCAUAUCUCUCGAAGUCGGGUUUCGGUAUGCUAAGGCUCUCUCUAUGAAUUCCCCUCUCACGCGACACUCUCUCCCUGUGUUGCCCACGCUUGAUACACAUGCUCAUUGCUCACAGAGCGGCAGCAUUGUCGUGGAGGCCCCAGCUAGGCAUUUGGCAGUGGCGGCGUGGAGGCCCGGCUUGGCAGUUGGCAGCGGCGGCGUGGUCCCUGCGACAGCGGUAUGAUCCUAGCAACGGACAACAACGAUGGCAGAGGUUUCAAAGAGCUCUAUCAUUGGGAAAGGUAUAACAAAAAAAAUGUCAUGAUGUUGCCCCAAUUGAUUAUUCCCAUAUUUAAAGUGGACAAGAAGUGUUCAUUCAAAGAAAGAGAUUGAGAGAAAGGUUGCUAGUCAUUGAUUAAUUUAGUCAAUUGAGUUAUAUAUGCUCUUUUUUUUUUAUUGUACUAAUAAGUAGGAAUUUCUUCUAUUUUAUAU